This 2923-nucleotide ribosomal RNA is filed under the name Klebsiella pneumoniae. RNAcentral describes it as "23S ribosomal RNA". It matches the Rfam family "Bacterial large subunit ribosomal RNA". The record is from RNAcentral. Lineage: Bacteria; Pseudomonadati; Pseudomonadota; Gammaproteobacteria; Enterobacterales; Enterobacteriaceae.
GGGUUGUGAGGUUAAGCGACUAAGCGUACACGGUGGAUGCCCUGGCAGUCAGAGGCGAUGAAGGACGUGCUAAUCUGCGAAAAGCGUCGGUAAGGUGAUAUGAACCGUUAUAACCGGCGAUGUCCGAAUGGGGAAACCCAGUGCAAUUCGUUGCACUAUCGUUAACUGAAUACAUAGGUUAACGAGGCGAACCGGGGGAACUGAAACAUCUAAGUACCCCGAGGAAAAGAAAUCAACCGAGAUUCCCCCAGUAGCGGCGAGCGAACGGGGAGCAGCCCAGAGUCUGAAUCAGCUUGUGUGUUAGUGGAACGGUCUGGAAAGUCCGACGGUACAGGGUGAUAGUCCCGUACACCAAAAUGCACAGGUUGUGAACUCGAAGAGUAGGGCGGGACACGUGGUAUCCUGUCUGAAUAUGGGGGGACCAUCCUCCAAGGCUAAAUACUCCUGACUGACCGAUAGUGAACCAGUACCGUGAGGGAAAGGCGAAAAGAACCCCGGCGAGGGGAGUGAAAAAGAACCUGAAACCGUGUACGUACAAGCAGUGGGAGCACCUUCGGGUGUGACUGCGUACCUUUUGUAUAAUGGGUCAGCGACUUAUAUUCUGUAGCAAGGUUAACCGUAUAGGGGAGCCGCAGGGAAACCGAGUCUUAACUGGGCGUUAAGUUGCAGGGUAUAGACCCGAAACCCGGUGAUCUAGCCAUGGGCAGGUUGAAGGUUGGGUAACACUAACUGGAGGACCGAACCGACUAAUGUUGAAAAAUUAGCGGAUGACUUGUGGCUGGGGGUGAAAGGCCAAUCAAACCGGGAGAUAGCUGGUUCUCCCCGAAAGCUAUUUAGGUAGCGCCUCGUGAAUUCAUCUUCGGGGGUAGAGCACUGUUUCGGCUAGGGGGUCAUCCCGACUUACCAACCCGAUGCAAACUACGAAUACCGAAGAAUGUUAUCACGGGAGACACACGGCGGGUGCUAACGUCCGUCGUGAAGAGGGAAACAACCCAGACCGCCAGCUAAGGUCCCAAAGUCAUGGUUAAGUGGGAAACGAUGUGGGAAGGCACAGACAGCCAGGAUGUUGGCUUAGAAGCAGCCAUCAUUUAAAGAAAGCGUAAUAGCUCACUGGUCGAGUCGGCCUGCGCGGAAGAUGUAACGGGGCUAAACCAUGCACCGAAGCUGCGGCAGCGACACUAUGUGUUGUUGGGUAGGGGAGCGUUCUGUAAGCCUGCGAAGGUGACCUGUGAGGGUUGCUGGAGGUAUCAGAAGUGCGAAUGCUGACAUAAGUAACGAUAAAGCGGGUGAAAAGCCCGCUCGCCGGAAGACCAAGGGUUCCUGUCCAACGUUAAUCGGGGCAGGGUGAGUCGACCCCUAAGGCGAGGCCGAAAGGCGUAGUCGAUGGGAAACAGGUUAAUAUUCCUGUACUUGGUGUUACUGCGAAGGGGGGACGGAGAAGGCUAUGUUAGCCGGGCGACGGUUGUCCCGGUUUAAGCAUGUAGGCUGGUUGUCCAGGCAAAUCCGGAUAAUCAAGGCUGAGGUGUGAUGACGAGGCACUACGGUGCUGAAGUAACAAAUGCCCUGCUUCCAGGAAAAGCCUCUAAGCAUCAGGUAACAUUAAAUCGUACCCCAAACCGACACAGGUGGUCAGGUAGAGAAUACCAAGGCGCUUGAGAGAACUCGGGUGAAGGAACUAGGCAAAAUGGUGCCGUAACUUCGGGAGAAGGCACGCUGGUGUGUAGGUGAAGUCCCUGCGGAUGGAGCUGAGACCAGUCGAAGAUACCAGCUGGCUGCAACUGUUUAUUAAAAACACAGCACUGUGCAAACACGAAAGUGGACGUAUACGGUGUGACGCCUGCCCGGUGCCGGAAGGUUAAUUGAUGGGGUUAUCCGUAAGGAGAAGCUCUUGAUCGAAGCCCCGGUAAACGGCGGCCGUAACUAUAACGGUCCUAAGGUAGCGAAAUUCCUUGUCGGGUAAGUUCCGACCUGCACGAAUGGCGUAAUGAUGGCCAGGCUGUCUCCACCCGAGACUCAGUGAAAUUGAACUCGCUGUGAAGAUGCAGUGUACCCGCGGCAAGACGGAAAGACCCCGUGAACCUUUACUAUAGCUUGACACUGAACAUUGAGCCUUGAUGUGUAGGAUAGGUGGGAGGCUUUGAAGCGUGGACGCCAGUCUGCGUGGAGCCAACCUUGAAAUACCACCCUUUAAUGUUUGAUGUUCUAACGUUGGCCCCUGACCGGGGUUGCGGACAGUGUCUGGUGGGUAGUUUGACUGGGGCGGUCUCCUCCCAAAGCGUAACGGAGGAGCACGAAGGUUAGCUAAUCCUGGUCGGACAUCAGGAGGUUAGUGCAAUGGCAUAAGCUAGCUUGACUGCGAGCGUGACGGCGCGAGCAGGUGCGAAAGCAGGUCAUAGUGAUCCGGUGGUUCUGAAUGGAAGGGCCAUCGCUCAACGGAUAAAAGGUACUCCGGGGAUAACAGGCUGAUACCGCCCAAGAGUUCAUAUCGACGGCGGUGUUUGGCACCUCGAUGUCGGCUCAUCACAUCCUGGGGCUGAAGUAGGUCCCAAGGGUAUGGCUGUUCGCCAUUUAAAGUGGUACGCGAGCUGGGUUUAGAACGUCGUGAGACAGUUCGGUCCCUAUCUGCCGUGGGCGCUGGAGAAUUGAGGGGGGCUGCUCCUAGUACGAGAGGACCGGAGUGGACGCAUCACUGGUGUUCGGGUUGUCAUGCCAAUGGCACUGCCCGGUAGCUAAAUGCGGAAGAGAUAAGUGCUGAAAGCAUCUAAGCACGAAACUUGCCCCGAGAUGAGUUCUCCCUGAGACUUUAAGUCUCCUGAAGGAACGUUGAAGACGACGACGUUGAUAGGCCGGGUGUGUAAGCGCAGCGAUGCGUUGAGCUAACCGGUACUAAUGAACCGUGAGGCUUAACCUUACAACGCCGAAG